AACCUUGGCGGCCCUCUUGAUGACUCCUCUUCCUGAGCAGCUCCAGUGAGGAGCAAACUGGCCCUUAAGAAGUUGACUGAAGGGGCGGCUUCCUC
Small nucleolar RNA from Peromyscus leucopus (white-footed mouse), 95 nucleotides. RefSeq annotates it as small nucleolar RNA SNORD125. The transcript has a single exon. NCBI's taxonomy places the organism in Eukaryota, Metazoa, Chordata, Mammalia, Rodentia, Cricetidae. The record is from RefSeq and is a predicted model, not a curated record.